GGCGAAGGCGGCAUACUAGUACUGGAAGUCGUACGAACUCUGGUAUUGAUUGGUGCUUGCAUCAUGAUUUACAUUUGAGUGAGUGGCGAACUGGUGAGUAACACGUGGGAAACCUGCCCAGAAGCGGGGGAUAACACCUGGAAACAGAUGCUAAUACCGCAUAACAACUUGGACCGCAUGGUCCGAGUUUGAAAGAUGGCUUCGGCUAUCACUUUUGGAUGGUCCCGCGGCGUAUUAGCUAGAUGGUGAGGUAACGGCUCACCAUGGCAAUGAUACGUAGCCGACCUGAGAGGGUAAUCGGCCACAUUGGGACUGAGACACGGCCCAAACUCCUACGGGAGGCAGCAGUAGGGAAUCUUCCACAAUGGACGAAAGUCUGAUGGAGCAACGCCGCGUGAGUGAAGAAGGGUUUCGGCUCGUAAAACUCUGUUGUUAAAGAAGAACAUAUCUGAGAGUAACUGUUCAGGUAUUGACGGUAUUUAACCAGAAAGCCACGGCUAACUACGUGCCAGCAGCCGCGGUAAUACGUAGGUGGCAAGCGUUGUCCGGAUUUAUUGGGCGUAAAGCGAGCGCAGGCGGUUUUUUAAGUCUGAUGUGAAAGCCUUCGGCUCAACCGAAGAAGUGCAUCGGAAACUGGGAAACUUGAGUGCAGAAGAGGACAGUGGAACUCCAUGUGUAGCGGUGAAAUGCGUAGAUAUAUGGAAGAACACCAGUGGCGAAGGCGGCUGUCUGGUCUGUAACUGACGCUGAGGCUCGAAAGUAUGGGUAGCAAACAGGAUUAGAUACCCUGGUAGUCCAUACCGUAAACGAUGAAUGCUAAGUGUUGGAGGGUUUCCGCCCUUCAGUGCUGCAGCUAACGCAUUAAGCAUUCCGCCUGGGAGUACGGCCGCAAGGCUGAAACUCAAAGGAAUUGACGGGGGCCCGCACAAGCGGUGGAGCAUGUGGUUUAAUUCGAAGCUACGCGAAGAACCUUACCAGGUCUUGACAUACUAUGCAAAUCUAAGAGAUUAGACGUUUC
Molecule: ribosomal RNA, 1018 nt
Filed under: Lactiplantibacillus pentosus
Lineage: Bacteria; Bacillati; Bacillota; Bacilli; Lactobacillales; Lactobacillaceae
Description: bacterial SSU rRNA
Rfam family: Bacterial small subunit ribosomal RNA
Source: RNAcentral